GAGGGUAUAGCCAAGUGAUAAAGCAUGUGCCUAGCAUGCACAAGGUCCUGGGUUCAGUCCACAGUACCUCCA
This 72-nucleotide transfer RNA is filed under the name Camelus bactrianus (Bactrian camel). It matches the Rfam family "tRNA". Rfam says of the family: Transfer RNA (tRNA) molecules are approximately 80 nucleotides in length. The record is from Rfam by way of RNAcentral. Lineage: Eukaryota; Metazoa; Chordata; Mammalia; Artiodactyla; Camelidae. RNAcentral also lists the same sequence under 2 other names.